This 253-nucleotide ribosomal RNA is filed under the name uncultured bacterium. RNAcentral's name for it is "partial 16S ribosomal RNA". It matches the Rfam family "Bacterial small subunit ribosomal RNA", at positions 524 to 776 of the family's 1533-position model. The record is from RNAcentral.
UACGAAGGGGGCGAGCGUUGUUCGGAAUCACUGGGCGUAAAGGGCGCGUAGGCGGCCCUUCUUGUCGCGUGUGAAAGCCCCGGGCUCAACCUGGGAAUGGCGCGCGAGACGGGGGGGCUGGAGUUCGGGAGAGGAGCGUGGAAUUCCCAGUGUAGAGGUGAAAUGCGUAGAUAUCUGGAGGAACACCGGUGGCGAAGGCGGCAUCCUGGACCGGCAUUGACGCUAAAGCGCGAAAGCCAGGGGAGCAAACGGG